AACAGAGGGUGCAAGCGUUAAUCGGAGUUAUUGGGCGUAAAGCGUGCGUAGGCGGAUACAUUAGUCGGGCGUGAAAUCCCUGGGCUUAACCUGGGAAUUGCGUUCGAUAUUGUGUGUCUAGAGUAUGGUAGAGGAAAGUGGAAUUUCCGGUGUAGCGGUGAAAUGCGUAGAUAUCGGAAAGAACAUCAGUGGCUAAGGCGGCUUUCUGGACCAAUACUGACGCUGAGGUACGAAAGCGUGGGGAGCAAACAGG
This 253-nucleotide ribosomal RNA is filed under the name uncultured bacterium. RNAcentral describes it as "partial 16S ribosomal RNA". It matches the Rfam family "Bacterial small subunit ribosomal RNA", at positions 524 to 776 of the family's 1533-position model. The record is from RNAcentral.